UUUAAUUUAAAUAUUUUUUUUGUUAAUUUCAUACGAGUCAUAUAUAGAGCUUGAAGCACCACAAUAUUGUUUUCCUACCGAAGAAGCUCCUCGUAAUGAAAAUUGACCUAAAUUCAUUGAAUUUUACUUAUACAAAUCCUUGGUAAUAGUUCAAAUGUGAGACUCCUGUUCUACCUUCAAGUGAUGGAUCCUAGCAAUUAGGGGUGUUCAUGGAUCGGAUUCGAUCCGUAUAU
Molecule: long non-coding RNA, 233 nt
Filed under: Arachis ipaensis
Lineage: Eukaryota; Viridiplantae; Streptophyta; Magnoliopsida; Fabales; Fabaceae
Description: long non-coding RNA (AIPA_LNC000597)
Source: RNAcentral